Molecule: ribosomal RNA, 246 nt
Filed under: uncultured bacterium
Lineage: Bacteria
Description: partial 16S ribosomal RNA
Rfam family: Bacterial small subunit ribosomal RNA
Source: RNAcentral
UACGGGGGGAGCAAGCGUUGUUCGGAUUUACUGGGCGUAAAGGGCGCGUAGGCGGUCGUGACAAGUCACUUGUGAAAUCUCCGGGCUUAACUCGGAACGGUCAAGUGAUACUGUCGGACUAGAGUACAGAAGGGGCAACUGGAAUUCUCGGUGUAGCGGUGAAAUGCGUAGAUAUCGAGAGGAACACCUGCGGCGAAGGCGGGAUUGCUGGGCUGAUACUGACGCUGAGGCGCGAAAGCCGGGUGG